This is a non-coding RNA of Vicia faba (fava bean), 261 nucleotides long. The record is from the annotation of a GenBank genome assembly. Lineage: Eukaryota; Viridiplantae; Streptophyta; Magnoliopsida; Fabales; Fabaceae.
AUGCUCCCAACAAAACUUCUCAUCCUUCGUCUUUAUCAAAGAAAAAACUCACAUCUCACAAUAAAAUUGAAAGCUUCGCAGUGGUGGGUUGGAGGUGCGGAGGGUUGGUGUGCGUGGUCGACAGAGAAAGACUGGUCGCGAUUGUAUGGAGGCGUUGCUGCUUCGGAGGGUAUGUUCAGAGCUUGGUCGUUGUGUGCGGUGCGGUUGUCGUUGGAGGUUUUGCGGCUGGGGCUGCAUCGUGACCACAUGAUUUCGGAAUAG